Non-coding RNA from Pelobates cultripes (western spadefoot toad), 317 nucleotides. Lineage: Eukaryota; Metazoa; Chordata; Amphibia; Anura; Pelobatidae. The record is from the annotation of a GenBank genome assembly.
GGAGAUGGUAUGUCCCGCCCCCCCAGCGGCCGGAGAUGGUACGUCCCGCCCAGUGAGAGCACCAAGAUGGCGGCGGUUGUCUGUGCCCUGCACGCGGCCGCCCUGGCAUGGUAUGUGUUCGGUCUCUGGCAGAAUGUGCAGGUUACCGGCUCCACCCUGGGACACGGGGCUCACACGUAUGGGGGGCGAUGGAAAUACCUGACCUUCAUCAACCAGGUGAGAGCAGGACCCCCUGUGACAUCACCAGAGUGACCUCACCCUGACCCCUGUGACAUCACCAGAGUGACCUCACCCUGACCCCUGUGACAUCACCAGAG